CCCAGUACCUGCAGGCACCUAAGGGACACAGAGCUCAGACCCUAACCUGCCCUCUGCCACCCACCCAGUCAGUCUCCUUCCAGCAGGUGCAGCCGGGAAGUCACCCUGGGCUUCUCUCCACAGGUGGGAAGCAGAACCAUGCUGGGUCCCCUCGCCCUCCUGUGCACCCUCCUGUUUCCCGGCAGCUGGGCAGCGAUCAGCCUGGAGCAGCCCUCUAUGGUCGUGGCGCAGGCAGGCCGCUCAGCCACUCUGUGGUGCAAAGCCAGCACCAAGGUCAGCUACAUCCACUGGUACCACCACCAGGAAGGUGCGGCCCCGAAGAGGCUCCUCAGACUGGACAUGUCCGGAACGUUUGUGCAGAAAGAUGGGGGCCUGAAAGCGGACAAAGUCAAUGCCAAGAGGGGCAAGGGUAGCAACAGCUGUGACCUGUCCGUGCUGGAGCUGGAGGAGAGCGACGAGGGCGUGUACUACUGUGCUGCCUGGGAAGCUCACAGCUCAGGCUGGAUCAAGAUAUCUUCAGAAGGAAUUAGGCUCAUAGUAACUCCUCCUGCUAAAAGCCCUGAUGAAGACACUUCCCCCAAGCCCACGAUUUUUCUUCCUUCAAUUGAUGAAAGAAAACUCCACAAGGCUGGAACGUAUCUUUGUCUUCUUGAGGAUUUUUUCCCUGAUGUUAUCAAUAUAGAUUGGAAAGAGAAAAAUGGCAGAGUAAUAUUGAAAUCCCAGCAGGGAGACACCAUGAAGACUAAGGACACAUACAUGAAAUACACCUGGCUGACCGUGAGAGAAGACUCAAUGGGUAAAGAAUACAAAUGUAUCGUCAAACACCAGAAGAAUAAAGGAGGGGUUGAUCAAGAGAUUCUUUUUCCUUCAAUAAACACAGCAGAUUUGGUGACGGGAUCCAAAGUGGGCUUCCAGAAGGAAUCAGAGACAAGUAGAAACACAAGGCCAGUAACCGUGAGCCCUUCGAGUACACUGUCUACAUCACCAUUUUCAAGUGCCGCGGAGCUCACUGCUGUUAACUCUACAGAAGCUUCUUUGAAAGACGAAAAUGACCCCCUGCAGCUGCAGCUCAUGAACACCUCUGCCUACUACACCUACCUCCUCCUCCUCGUCAAGAGCAUGGUCUACACCAUCAUCACCGCCAUCUGUCUGCUUGGGAGAGCGGCACUCUGUGACAAUGGGAAGAGUUCCUGACCCGUGGUGGCACAGGGUCCAUGUUUCUCCAUUGACUGUUGUCACUAAAAGUGUCUGCUGAGGGUCUAGCGGGGCUUUCUUUCUGGGUGGUUCAUUUCAACUCACACGUCGCCUUUUUCUAUGUGUCAUCAUUGCAGAAUGGGUUUGCAAACUCCUGGGCAAACAGGAAAUGUCACUCUGCACCAAGAACAGACUCUGCCAUGAGUCAGGGGCGGGGCCGGGGGGCACCCACGGGGGCUUUAGCACCUCUCUCUCCUUCAUGCCCACCAGCUGGUCAGCCACCCAGCACCCUCGCCUCUGAGUACAGCCGGCGUGCAGCUUCCAUCGCGGCCCCUGGGGCUCUGUAUCCAGAUAACUGCCUGGAGGCCUUUUAUUUUACAUACAUGGAAGCUGCCAUCUUUGCUACCUGAGUUUUGUUCUGUUGUUCAUAACAGGCAUAAUAAAAA
Prionailurus viverrinus (fishing cat) is the source of this 1640-nucleotide non-coding RNA. The record is from the annotation of a RefSeq genome assembly. Lineage: Eukaryota; Metazoa; Chordata; Mammalia; Carnivora; Felidae.